ACCAAUCAACCUCUUAUAAUUUACCAAUUAUUAGCAAGUUAAUUUAUUACAACUUUUGCAAAAGAUUAAUCAUCAAUCGAAUUGAUGGUUAUACCCUCAAAUGAUUCUCAAUCAUCGAUCAGCUGUAUGAUUAGUCAGAAACUUCUUUUGAGUAUGAUGAUCACUGUCGUAGGUGGUCAAGAAUAAAAACCAACUCAAACUAUAUAGAUAGGAUGAGUAGGGAUCAUUUCCAC
Molecule: long non-coding RNA, 233 nt
Filed under: Elaeis guineensis (African oil palm)
Lineage: Eukaryota; Viridiplantae; Streptophyta; Magnoliopsida; Arecales; Arecaceae
Description: long non-coding RNA (EGUI_LNC054118)
Source: RNAcentral